GCCAGACUCCUACGGGAGGCAGCAGUGAGGAAUAUUGGUCAAUGGUCGGGAGACUGAACCAGCCAAGCCGCGUGAGGGAUGAAGGUACAGAGUAUCGUAAACCUCUUUUGUCAGGGAACAAAGGCGGGGACGUGUCCCCGGAUGAGUGUACCUGAAGAAAAAGCAUCGGCUAACUACGUGCCAGCAGCCGCGGUAAUACGUAGGGGGCAAGCGUUAUCCGGAUUUACUGGGUGUAAAGGGAGCGUAGACGGCGUGCCAAGUCUGAUGUGAAAGGCCGGGGCUCAACCCCGGGACUGCAUUGGAAACUGGCAUGCUGGAGUGCCGGAGGGGCAAGCGGAAUUCCUAGUGUAGCGGUGAAAUGCGUAGAUAUUAGGAGGAACACCGGUGGCGAAGGCGGCUUGCUGGACGGUAACUGACGUUGAGGCUCGAAAGCGUGGGGAGCAAACAGGAUUAGAUACCCUUGUA
RNAcentral lists this ribosomal RNA (465 nucleotides) under uncultured bacterium. Its description in RNAcentral is "bacterial SSU rRNA". It matches the Rfam family "Bacterial small subunit ribosomal RNA", at positions 330 to 792 of the family's 1533-position model. The record is from RNAcentral.